GACGAACGCUGGCGGCGUGCCUAAUACAUGCCAGUUGAGCGCUGAAGGUUGGUACUUGUACCAACUGGAUGAGCAGCGAACGGGUGAGUAACGCGUGGGGAAUCUGCCUUUGAGCGGGGGACAACAUUUGGAAACGAAUGCUAAUACCGCAUAAAAACUUUAAACACAAGUUUUAAGUUUGAAAGAUGCAAUUGCAUCACUCAAAGAUGAUCCCGCGUUGUAUUAGCUAGUUGGUGAGGUAAAGGCUCACCAAGGCGAUGAUACAUAGCCGACCUGAGAGGGUGAGCGGCCACAGUGGGACUGAGACACGGCCCAAACUCCUACGGGAGGCAGCAGUAGGGAAUCUUCGGCAAGGGACGAAAGUCUGACCGAGCAACGCCGCGUGAGUGAAGAAGGUUUGCGGAUCGUAAAACUCUGUUGGUAGAGAAGAACGUUGGUGAGAGUGGAAAGCUCAUCAAGUGACGGUAACUACCCAGAAAGGGACGGCUAACUACGUG
RNAcentral lists this ribosomal RNA (497 nucleotides) under uncultured bacterium. RNAcentral's name for it is "partial 16S ribosomal RNA". It matches the Rfam family "Bacterial small subunit ribosomal RNA", at positions 28 to 507 of the family's 1533-position model. The record is from RNAcentral.